CGUGAGGGAAAGGUGAAAAGAACCCCGGGAGGGGAGUGAAAUAGUACCUGAAACCUUGUGCUUACAAGCAGUUACAGCCCGUUAAAGGGUGGUAGCGUACUUUUUGUAGAACGGUCCGGCGAGUUAUAGUCACUAGCGAGCUUAAGACAUUCAGUGUUGGAGGCGUAGGGAAACCGAGUCUGAACAGGGCGAAUGAAGUUAGUGGCCAUAGACCCGAAACCAUGUGACCUAGCCAUGAGCAGGAUGAAGUGGAGGUAAAGCUCCAUGGAGGUCCGAACGCACGUUCGUUGCAAUGACCGGCGAUGACUUGUGGCUAGCGGUGAAAUUCCAAUCGAACUUGGAGAUAGCUGGUUCUCCCCGAAAUAGCUUUAGGGCUAGCGUUGGGAAUGAGUUUAGCGGAGGUAAAGCACUGAAUGAGCUAGGGGGCGCAAGCUUACUGAACUCUAUCAAACUAAGAAUGCCGCAUAAAUGCUUCCCAGCAGUCAGACUGCGAGUAAUAAAAUCCGUGGUCAAAAGGGUAACAGCCCAGACCCACAGCUAAGGUCCCCAAUACAUGCUAAGUGGAAAACGAUGUGAGAUUGCAUAAACAACCAGGAUGUUGGCUUAGAGGCAGCCACUCGUUCAAAGAGUGCGUAAUAGCUCACUGGUCGAGUGAUCUUGCGCGGAAAAUUUAACGGGGCUAAGCAUGUAACCGAAGCUUGGGAUUGCGCAAUGCGCAGUGGUAGGGGAGCGUCGUGUACGGGGUGAAGUACGAUCGAGAGGACGUGUGGACUGUACACGAGUGAGAAUGCCGGAAUGAGUAGCGAGAAUUAUGUGGGAAUCAUAAUGGCCGAAAAUCUAAGGUUUCUUGGGGAAGGUUCGUCCGCCCAAGGUAAGCCGGGAGCUAAGGCGAGGCCGCAAGGCGUAGUCGAUGCACAUACGGUAAAGAUUCCGUAGCCGCCGAACUUUAAGUCAGAGGGACACUUGCAGAUAGCGGAACCCAGCCGUUGGUUGAGCUGGGCGAAAGGGACUGAAUUUAGUAGGGAAGUCCGCGAUGCUGAAAGGCGAGAAAAGCUCUGAUGAAUACUAAGGCGCCCGUACCGCAAACCGACACAGGUAGAUGAGGAGAGAAUCCUAAGGCCAACGGGAGAAGGGUUGUUAAGGAACUCGGCAAAUUGACCCCGUAACUUCGGGAGAAGGGGUGCUCCAGAGAUGGAGCCGCAGAGAAUCGGCCCAAGCAACUGUUUACCAAAAACACAGGUUUGUGCUAAAUCGAAAGAUGACGUAUACGAGCUGACGCCUGCCCGGUGCUGGAAGGUUAAGAGGAGAUGUGCAAGCAUUGAAUCGAAGCCCCAGUGAACGGCGGCCGUAACUAUAACGGUCCUAAGGUAGCGAAAUUCCUUGUCAGGUAAGUUCUGACCCGCACGAAAAGUGUAAUGAUCUGGGAACUGUCUCAACCAUAGACUCGGUGAAAUCUUAAUACCUGUGAAAAUGCAGGUUACCCGCGACAGGACGGAAAGACCCCAUGGAGCUUUACUGUAGCUUGAUAUUGGAUCUCGAUGUGUUAUGUAGAGGAUAGGUGGGAGACUAUGAUGUUAGGACGCUAGUUCUAACGGAGUCAACCUUGGAAUACCACCCUUAGCAUGUUGAGAUUCUAACCUCGACCCAUUAUCUGGGUCAGGGACAGUGUCUGGUGGGCAGUUUGACUGGGGCGGUCGCCUCCCAAAAAGUAACGGAGGCGCUCAAAGGUUCCCUCAGAAUGGUUGGAAAUCAUUCGAAGAGCGUAAUGGUAUAAGGGAGCUUUACUGCGAGACCUACAAGUCAAGCAGUUACGAAAGUAGGACAUAGUGGGCCGGCGAUUCAGAAUGGAAUGGUCGUCGCUUAACGGAUAAAAGUUACCCUGGGGAUAACAGGCUGAUACCACCCAAUAGUUCACAUAGACGGUGGUGAUUGGCACCUCGAUGUCGGCUCGUCACAUCCUGGAGCUGGAUUCGGUUCCAAGGGUUGGGCUGUUCGCCCAUUAAAGUGGCACGCGAGCUGGGUUCAGAACGU
This 2031-nucleotide ribosomal RNA is filed under the name human gut metagenome. Its description in RNAcentral is "bacterial LSU rRNA". It matches the Rfam family "Bacterial large subunit ribosomal RNA", at positions 502 to 2619 of the family's 2925-position model. The record is from RNAcentral.